AUGUUCUGGGACCUGAUUCAGCUACUCUUCCUAGUCCACUGUGGUCUUGUGAGGUCAGCGCUUGGUCAAGAUUAGGAGAAAAACUGCAGGGCUGCAGAGACCUCUCUGUCCAACAUCUCCCUACGUGGGCACUACUCUGCUGUGAGCUCUGGGUGGACACCAGGCAUGAUUUACAAUCCCUUUCAGGGAAUUAUUGCUGCUAAUGGGCAGAGCCAAUUUAUGCUUCCCAAGGGGGAGGGCAAAAUCAAUUAAUGGAGAGCCUGACAUGGCCAGGCCUGAUGACAGAGUGUGGCCUGACAUCCGGAGGUGAUAAGGGACUUUCUGAGGCUGAACUAAUAAGGAGAUUGGGGAAAAAGAAGAAAAACAACACCCCCUCCCCAUCUGCCCAAUCGAUUUGGUGUACAAUGGGCAGAGAAUGCAGAGUAAACAGAGCAGCUGGGCACGAGCCUCUUUCCAUCUGAACGAGCCUGGAGAUAAGGACUGGACAGGCCGCCCAUCCCACCAUCAACAUAGAACGGGAAGUAAGAAGACAAGUACACCGAGCCUAUGAUGGUCAUGUGUUCCUGUCACUCUGGACUUGUGGUUCCCAGCUCUGCUACACAACGGAAAUCUCUGGAGAAUCUCUAGACAUCCUGGUGCCCAGACCACAGCCCAGAACCAUUCAGUCAGGAUCACUGGGGUGGGUCCAGGUGAUUCUGAGGCAUGGCCAUGGCUGAAACUCACUGCUUUUGUCUCUCUAGUACAAGGACUGGCAGGGCAAGAGCUGGGGGCCCGUGGGCACGUGGCUGCUGAUGAGAUCUGGGCUCUGAUGUUUCUGCUGCACUGUUGAAAUGCAGCCUGGGCCAGGAUUGUGAACGCUGCCGGUGGUAGGGAGCAUGGAGUCUGAGCCAUCUCCCACCCAGGAUGGUCUCUGAGCCCCUCACACACUUGCAUGCAGUAAUGACAGGGGGUGGGUGGGGUGGGGCCUGGGAAGAAAUGCUACAGAAUAGGGGGGAGAGCACGCUCUGCCCCAAGACAUAGCUCCUUACAUGCACAGACCUCAACACAAAAGGCACCAUUUCAAACUCAUUCACUUUAUGGGCCCCAGUUAAGUGAUGAAGCUCUGUCUGUAUUGGGGUUUUGAUUACCGUGGGCUCCCAGAAAGGAGGGCACACUACAGAUGUACCAUUAAGAAAAAGCAAAAUCACACCUCAUGGUGUUGGGCCAGCUCUCACCACAGAGGCCACUUCCCUGUUAAUAAUUCCUUGGUGCUUGGGAGUUGAUAAGGGACUUUAAUGGAGAUUAUCUGGGAAAGGAUCAGAGCCUGGGCAAGGGUGGAAUCUGUACAUGACAGACAGUGAGAGGGAGGCUUGGGGAGGUGACCUGCCCAGUGUCACGCAGAGCAGAGAUGGCCUUGGAAUUUCCGCCUUUUCCCUCCCAGCUCGGGGCUCUUUCUCUUUCCCUGGGAGGGUUUCUGAACACAGAAGAGAGCUGGAGGGUUUCUCUGAGUGGGGCUGGAGGGCUGGGAGAGGCAGGACCUCUUCCUAACACCUCUUGGAGAAGACAGACUUGUGGUUAUGGGGGUCGCACCAUGGUUCCUUUCCAGAUGGGAAUACUUCCAAACUCAGGGAUUAAGCAAGAUUAAAAACAAAAAGGCCCUCUAGAAAGGGGUUAACCUCAUUUCCUCAGACAUAAAAACUGUCCUUGGCAGUUGGAAACAGCAGAGUUGACUCCACGGAUGACUGAUGCCCCUUACGGGUGUUAUAUACCUGUCCACGCCUGCCCCUGGCAGGGAUUUAAACAUUCCAUGCUGUUCCAUGAAUCCUAAAUCAAAUAGAUUCAUCCUGGCCCUUGGUGAAGCCUAAGAGCUGGCGAGGCUUAUGUUAAAUUGCCCUCUCUGGGCUCCUGCUCCUGAGCUGACAGUCACAAAUUCCCCUUAAUGAGCACUCCUGAAGUAACCAAGGCAGCGCUGUGAGCUAAAUUAAGAUUCGAGAGCCCAGGCAGGGAGAGGGAGGUGUUUGCUUUGGCUGAGAAGGUGCCUGGGCCCCGGCCUGUGUGUUUGCCUGGGUGCCCUGAUAAGUGGGCUGCAUAUUAAGUGCCACAUGGUGGGACCAGAACCAUCUGCUGUAUGUCUGAGAGGUCACGCCUGCUGGCCCUUUGGGACCUGGUGGCAGAGGGACCCCGUGUCAACCUGUCUUUGGCUUCCUUUGUGGCCCCGUGGUCACUGAAAAGCCAGAAUGAAUAUUCUUCCUUUCGGAAUAAAAAUUGAGCUGUGGAAGUUUUGUUUGCUUUGAUGAAUUACUUCCAGGCUGCUGUUUAUUUGGAGAGCAAAGCUCCCCAGCUGCAGGGUGGGUAGAGGCUGCGGUCACUCCCCUCGUCAAUGCUGGUUCCUGUUCCUGAGGCCGAGAGAACUCCUGACAGCAGAGUGGGCAUAUCUUGGUAGUUGCAGCUUUUCAAGACAGUGUGGCCCAGUGGGGAGAGAGCAGAAAACCUGGGUUAUGCUGGCUCUGCCAUUUAUCAGCUGUGUAACCUUGGGCAAGUGAUACAACCUCUGUGUGCCUCAGUUUCCUUUCCUCACCUGUCCACAGGGGAUCAUAAUCUUGGCCCUGCAUGCCUUACAGGAGCGUUAAGAGCAUCAAAUGAAACAAUAAAAAUGAAAACAUUUAUAAAUGGUAGUUUGCCAUACAUAUUUUAAUAAAAGUGCCUGCCCUUCAAUCCAGCUCUCUGCACUGCCUGGGGACAGUGUUAGCAGGAGGACACCACUCUGACAGGGACCUGGACUUCCGCCUCUUCUGUUUGGAGAGAGUUAGAUGAUCACAUCUCUUAUAUGUACAAAAGCUUAGUGAAUGUAACUUAAAGAUAUUGCUUGCUUGUAGGCUUCUUGAGGGGAGGAAUGAUGGUUGGUUUCUAUGGAUUUGUUACAGGGGAAGGGAUAUCUCAGCUCAAAGGAUAUCCUGCGUAUCCAAGCCUUCCUCCACUUGUGCCCCACACACUGUCCCCUCUACUUUCUCAAGGAAGUUUUUCCUGCAGCUCUGCUCCCCUCUCCCACCACAGCAUCAGUUUCCCUCUCUAUGCAUGUUUCAGCACGUGAGCAUGUCUUAAAGCAUCCCUCUGGGCUCCUGCUUCCCUUUAGCUCCAGCCCAGUUCUCUGCUCCUGUCACUGCUCAACCCCCUGGAGGGGUUGUAUCUGCUCACUGCCUCAGCCUCUUUCCCUUCCACCCUCUCCCCAGCCACUCCCAGUCCCCUGGCUAAAUGGUGCUUGUCCAUGAUCACCCUGACAUGCAAAAUGGCCAGUGGUCCACAUUCCAUCCUGCCACACUCUACUGGCCCGUCUCCCCUUGGAGCUUGUGCUUCUCCAGCUUGUGCUUCUCCAGCUUGUGCCUGAGGCCAUACCCACUUAUCUGCUGUUCCUUUUCGCACCCUGGCAGUGCCUUCUCAGCAUCUCUGCUUCCUCUCUCUCCGCAACUGUUGGAGAACCCCAGGGGGCUGUUCUCAGCAAUUUGAAUACCUCCAUCUCUGGUCUUCAGAGGACAUUGUACUCAGUCCUGUGGCUUCAGACACCAACCAGACAUGAUGACUUGCAUAUUUCUUUUUCUAGCUUAGACUUUCUCUCUGAGCUCCACUGAUGCUCACCUGUCUACUCGACACCUCCUCUUGGACAUCAAAUGUCAUCUGAAACUUCAAAAAGGGCAGCCAGAACUCUCCAUCCCUCCAGCUCCUUGCCUCUGAUGGUCAUGCCUCCCUGCCUUUCUCAUUUCAGUAAAUGGCACUGCCAUUCUCUUCGCUGCUCAGAUCAAAAGCCCAGGAGGUGCCCUGACUCUCCUCUUUCUCUUGCAUCUCAUAUUUGGUCUACUGGUGAGUCCAAGCCACAAUCAUCCCUUGCUGGCACUUUCAUGGUAGCCUGGUAACUGGUCUACCCUUGGCCCCUACAAUCUACACUACAUGUGACAGACAAAGUGAGCUUUUUAAAGCAUCAAUCACAUCAUAUCACUCCAUGGUUAAAAUUAUUCAGUGGGCUUCCACUCUAUCCAGAAUAAAAUCCAAAUCUCUUUCCCCUGUGCAUAAGGCUGGUGUGACUUGGCCCUUGUGCUCUUGCUCCCUGCCCUCCAGCCACUCUAGCUUCCUUCCCACCCUGUGGCCAAGCAAAGCUUCCCCUUCAGGCUUCUCGCUUUCCGCUCUGUCUGCUAGGACUGUGCAUUCCCAGAACGCGGCGUAGCUGCUCCAUUCUCAUGAUGCAGCUGUCAGUUUAAAGUUAUCUUCUCCAGCAAGGCCUCCCCAACCUACCCAGCUAAAAGCAGUCUUCCCAGUUACUGUCUACAACAUUACAUAGUUUAGCUAUUUCAUAGCACUUAUUAUCCCCUCAAACAAUCUUACGUAUUUGUCGACGUGUUCAUUGUCUGUCUCCUUCCUCCCCCUAGAAUGUCAGUUUCUCACGUGCUGGGUUCUGUCUUGUUCUCUGCUGUAGCACCAGCACUAGUAGUAGUGCCUGGCAUAAGAAGGCACCCAACAUAUACAGUGUUUGCUGACUGAUUGGCUGUUCAUUGCUGUUCAGUGCCUGAUACCUAUCAUCAGAGUAUUUGGGGCAUAGAUGGGGACUUGGAGAUCACUGAAUCCAGUUUUUUAUUUUUUUUUAUUUUUUUUUAUUUUUUUUUAUUUUUAGACAAGGAAACUGAGAAUGAGACAAGAUCACAGCAGAGGUGGGGCUGUCUCAGGCUUAAGAAAGGACCUGACAGUGUUGCUGAGGCUGCUGGUCCUGGUGGUGAAGAGAGGAUAGUAAAUAAGCAGGCUGGCGGCCAAGCAAGAAGCCUGAGCAGAGGAGACAGCUGACUUUGGGAACAGAGAACAAAGGAGCUGAAGAUCUGGAAGAGACAGAGAGCAAGCUCUGCCAAGAGGGACAGGAGCACCUGGGCCGCCCACCCACUUGGGCCUGUCUUGGUGUUUCUGAUGCUGCCCCUUGAGGCUUUCUCGAGAAGGAAUCAGAGGCUGGGCACAUGUGACUGACAGGCAGGCCAGUCCUGUGGCUUCAGGAAUAUGCAGGAAACUCCCUACUCCCCUCCCACCUCACUGUGUGCUCCCCACAAGUGUUGGUGACCUGCUGCCCAGGAGGAGCCACCGAGGGAGGUGCACUUACAUUGCUUCUGCAGAAUGCUCUGUCUGGCCUUGAUGAAGGCGAUGAUGUCCGAGUCCGUCUGGCUGUCUCCGGUGAGAGGGAUGGACGACACUGGCCUCUUGGGGAUGCUGGAGGCAACCACGUGUCACAUUUUACUACACUUUACAACUGGACUCACCACUUAUAUUUCCAAAAUGCUUUUCCAUUUUAGGUGACUGAUCUCACUCAGAAAGCUACAUGACACGGCUGGCCUGCUUCUCACUCCCUCCUACCUUCUCUGUGUGGCAGCCACACUAAGCCUCUUGUCAUGCAAAUUGGGUCAAGUCAUUCCCUGCCAUAGACCCUGAUAUGGUUUGGCUGUGUCCUCACCCAAAUCUCAUCUUGAACUGUAGCUCCCAUAAUUUCCACGUGUUGUGGGAGGGACCAGGUGGGAGAUAACUGAAUCAUGGGGACGGUUUCCUCCAUACUGUUCUCGUGGUAGUGAAUAAGUCUCAUGAGAUCUGAUGUUUUCAUACGAGGUUUCCCCUCUCACUUGGCUUUCAUUCUGUCUUGGCUGCCACCAUGUAAGACGUGCCUUUCACCAUGAUUGUGAGGCCUCCCCAGUGACAUGAACUGUGAGUCCAUUAAAUCUCUUUUUCUUUAUAAAUUACCCAGUCUCAGGUAUGUCUUUAUCAGAAGUGUGAAAACAGACUAAUACAGACCCUUUAGUGGCUUUUCACCACUCAUGGAAUAAAACUUAAACUCUGUCCCAUGACCUACCAGGCUGUGUAUGAUAUGACCCCGG
Molecule: long non-coding RNA, 5873 nt
Filed under: Homo sapiens (human)
Lineage: Eukaryota; Metazoa; Chordata; Mammalia; Primates; Hominidae
Description: HSALNT0105851
Source: RNAcentral